UUCGCAAUGCCCGAAAGGGUGACGAAGCGACGCCGCGUGGGUGAAGAAGGCCUUCGGGUUGUAAAACCCUGUCAGGAGUUAUGAAAUGUAAGUGCGCUAAUAUCGUGCUUAUUUGACAAAGGCUCCAAAGGAAGCCACGGCUAACUCUGUGCCAGCAGCCGCGGUAAUACAGAGGUGGCGAGUGUUGUUCGGAAUUAUUGGGCGUAAAGAGCACGUAGGUGGGUUUGCAAGUCAGAUGUGAAAGCCUUCUGUUCAACGGAAGAAUUGCAUCUGAAACUGCUAAUCUUGAGUAUAGGAGGGGAGAGUGGAACUUCUGGUGGAGCGGUGAAAUGCGUAGAUAUCAGAAGGAACGCCGGCGGCGAAAGCGACUCUCUGGCCUAUAACUGACACUGAGUGUGCGAAAGCUAGGGGAGCAAACGGGAUUAGAUACCCCGGUAGUCCUAGCCGUAAACGAUGGGCACUAAGUAGAGGGGUUUU
Molecule: ribosomal RNA, 477 nt
Filed under: uncultured Candidatus Scalindua sp.
Lineage: Bacteria; Pseudomonadati; Planctomycetota; Candidatus Brocadiia; Candidatus Brocadiales; Candidatus Scalinduaceae
Description: bacterial SSU rRNA
Rfam family: Bacterial small subunit ribosomal RNA
Source: RNAcentral